CAACCCUGUCACCAAGCAUGUCCAUGGGAAAUCCGGCGCCUACUGCACUGACCCGUGCAGGGCCAGCAACUGUGGGCCCAGCAGCAGCUGGCGGUCUGGUGCCAUGCCAGGGAAUCUGCUCGCUGGGAGCUUUCUUUUGUUCUGGUUUCUGGGCAGGGCCUCCCUGCUAAUGGCGAGCAGAGGCCUUCCCUGCCGAUUCGACGGGGGAGAGACAAAGAAGACCACUCACUCUGUCAUCUUGGUCCCGCCACCCUUAGGCCACUUUUUAAAGACACCCCGCCAUAGAUUGCC
Molecule: long non-coding RNA, 291 nt
Filed under: Equus caballus (horse)
Lineage: Eukaryota; Metazoa; Chordata; Mammalia; Perissodactyla; Equidae
Description: lncRNA (ENSECAG00000048898.1)
Source: RNAcentral